AGGAAUAUUGAAAAAACAAAGGCAUGAACCACCAGCUUUGGAAAUGAAAUUCUUGAAACUAAAUUUAAAAAGAUAAGAUAAAGGCAUAUAGCUAUCCGCAAGCAGAAUAUUAAUAAACUGUACAGUCAAGAAAAGGGACUUAAAUCACUGGCCUUAGAAUCAGAACUUGGUGAACUCUGGUAUGAAUUUGAAGGUCUCUUUGUGUUGUUUUCUUUUGCACAAUCCGAACACAGGAAAUUAUGUAAGUUUUUGGCCUGCUAAAUGAUCAUUCCCAUACAGGUUGGAUGGAACCUGCACAUGUUCAAAGGUACAAACUAAAGAAACAUGUGAAUAAGGAAGGUCAACAGUAGCAGAAAUACUGAGAAGAUGAAAAGAGGGAACGAGUCAAUAAUUUUACCAACGGUUACCACCAUCCUAUUAACUUAGUAACCUUUGGAAAUGUAAAACAUUCUUUUGUGAAGGAACAAAUAAGCAUGUAAUGAAGGGAAACUUAUACGAAUUGAAGGGUUUUAUCAGCAAGCAAAAGUCUCAUUCCAAUUUUGAAGCAAGUAGACAAACUCUGAAUAUAUAUUAAAGUUUAAAGCAGCCUUUUUGGGUUCUUAGUGCUUGGAACCGCAUUAUUAUAUCUCUGAAAUAACUUGGAAGAUAAUGUAUCCAGUAAGCAAAAAUAUCCUAUUUGCACCUUAUUGGCAGUCGUUUUUGAUGGCGAAAAUUAAGCGCCUCUAGAAGAUCUUGUAAAAUAUCUAUCCGUUGGCCAAUGCACUUUGGGAUUACAGGGAGCCCAUUAGUAUCUUAUAUGAUCUUACUACCUA
RNAcentral lists this long non-coding RNA (812 nucleotides) under Triticum aestivum (bread wheat). RNAcentral's name for it is "long non-coding RNA (TAES_LNC012884)". Lineage: Eukaryota; Viridiplantae; Streptophyta; Magnoliopsida; Poales; Poaceae. The record is from RNAcentral.